UACGUAGGGUGCGAGCGUUGUCCGGAAUUAUUGGGCGUAAAGCGCACGUAGGCGGUUCGUUAUGUCGGAUGUGAAAGCCCUCGGCUUAACCGGGGAACUGCGUCCGAUACUGGAUGGCUUGAGUUCGGGAGAGGGAUGCGGAAUUCCAGGUGUAGCGGUGAAAUGCGUAGAUAUCUGGAGGAACACCGGUGGCGAAGGCGGCAUCCUGGACCGACACUGACGCUGAGGAGCGAAAGCCAGGGGAGCAAACGGG
This 253-nucleotide ribosomal RNA is filed under the name uncultured bacterium. Its description in RNAcentral is "partial 16S ribosomal RNA". It matches the Rfam family "Bacterial small subunit ribosomal RNA", at positions 524 to 776 of the family's 1533-position model. The record is from RNAcentral.